RNAcentral lists this ribosomal RNA (460 nucleotides) under uncultured bacterium. Its description in RNAcentral is "partial 16S ribosomal RNA". It matches the Rfam family "Bacterial small subunit ribosomal RNA", at positions 338 to 795 of the family's 1533-position model. The record is from RNAcentral.
CCUACGGGAGGCAGCAGUGAGGAAUAUUGGUCAAUGGGCGUAAGCCUGAACCAGCCAAGCCGCGUGAGGGAUGAAGGUUCUAUGGACCGUAAACCUCUUUUAUAAGGGAAUAAAGUGUGGGACGUGUCCUAUUUUGUAUGUACCUUAUGAAUCAGGAUCGGCUAACUCCGUGCCAGCAGCCGCGGUAAUACGGAGGAUCCGAGCGUUAUCCGGUUUUAUUGGGUUUAACGGGUGCGUAGGCGGCCUUUUAAGUCAGCGGUGAAAGUCUGUGGCUCAACCAUAGAAUUGCCGUUGAAACUGGGGGGCUUGAGUAUGUUUGAGGCAGGCGGAAUGCGUGGUGUAGCGGUGAAAUGCGUAGAUAUCACGCAGAACCCCGAUGGCGAAGGCGGCCUGCCAAGCCAUGACUGACGCUGAUGCACGAAAGCGUGGGGAUCAAACAGGAUUAGAUACCCUUGUAGUC